AGGAAAUGAUUAUGGAGAAAUGGUACGCAAUAUUUUAGACAGGUUAUUUAGCAUUUCUGUUAUGUCAAAAAUAAAUACGAAAGGGUCCUCUCGACAUGGGAAAGCAAAGAUAUACAGCAGCUAUAGGAAACAAGCUAAAGAAUGCCCCUGGACAACUUAAACGCGAUCAAGCAUCAAAUUGAAAAUUUGGUAUUGUGAAAUAUAAUAAAUUAAAUAUUAUUACGAUA
Non-coding RNA from Hydra vulgaris (swiftwater hydra), 227 nucleotides. The record is from RefSeq and is a predicted model, not a curated record. NCBI's taxonomy places the organism in Eukaryota, Metazoa, Cnidaria, Hydrozoa, Anthoathecata, Hydridae.